CCUACGGGUGGCAGCAGUGAGGAAUAUUGGUCAAUGGACGAGAGUCUGAACCAGCCAAGUAGCGUGAAGGAUGACUGCCCUAUGGGUUGUAAACUUCUUUUAUAAGGGAAUAAAACGAGGCACGUGUGCCUGUUUGCAUGUACUUUAUGAAUAAGGAUCGGCUAACUCCGUGCCAGCAGCCGCGGUAAUACGGAGGAUCCGAGCGUUAUCCGGAUUUAUUGGGUUUAAAGGGAGCGUAGAUGGGUUGUUAAGUCAGUUGUGAAAGUUUGCGGCUCAACCGUAAAAUUGCAAUUGAUACUGGCAGUCUUGAGUACAGGUGAGGUAGGCGGAAUUCGUGGUGUAGCGGUGAAAUGCUUAGAUAUCACGAAGAACCCCGAUUGCGAAGGCAGCUUACUAAACUGUGACUGACAUUGAUGCUCGAAAGUGUGGGUAUCAAACAGGAUUAGAUACCCUGGUAGUC
This 460-nucleotide ribosomal RNA is filed under the name uncultured bacterium. Its description in RNAcentral is "partial 16S ribosomal RNA". It matches the Rfam family "Bacterial small subunit ribosomal RNA", at positions 338 to 795 of the family's 1533-position model. The record is from RNAcentral.